RNAcentral lists this ribosomal RNA (547 nucleotides) under uncultured bacterium. Its description in RNAcentral is "bacterial SSU rRNA". It matches the Rfam family "Bacterial small subunit ribosomal RNA", at positions 355 to 896 of the family's 1533-position model. The record is from RNAcentral.
UGGGGAAUAUUGCGCAAUGGGGGGAACCCUGACGCAGCCAUGCCGCGUGAAUGAAGAAGGCCUUCGGGUUGUAAAGUUCUUUCGGUAUUGAGGAAGGUUGAUGUGUUAAUAGCACAUCAAAUUGACGUUAAAUACAGAAGAAGCACCGGCUAACUCCGUGCCAGCAGCCGCGGUAAUACGGAGGGUGCGAGCGUUAAUCGGAAUAACUGGGCGUAAAGGGCACGCAGGCGGUUAUUUAAGUGGGGUGUGAAAGCCCUGGGCUUAACCUAGGAAUUGCAUUUCAGACUGGGUAACUAGAGUACUUUAGGGAGGGGUAGAAUUCCACGUGUAGCGGUGAAAUGCGUAGAGAUGUGGAGGAAUACCGAAGGCGAAGGCAGCCCCUUGGGAAUGUACUGACGCUCAUGUGCGAAAGCGUGGGGAGCAAACAGGAUUAGAUACCCUGGUAGUCCACGCUGUAAACGCUGUCGAUUUGGGGAUUGGGCUUAGAGCUUGGUGCCCGUAGCUAACGUGAUAAAUCGACCGCCUGGGGAGUACGGCCGCAAGGUUA